GUUAUAAGGUGAUUUGAUGUAGUGAGAAAGGGUGAAGAGAAUGAGGUUGGGUGUUCGAGUCUAGCCCCAUACCAAAAUACUUGCCGAUAAAAAAUAAAUAAAUAUUAGGGUUUUCUAAAGUAUGCAUUCGCCCCUAACAAAAACCUUAAUGCAAGUUAGUAGGACAUAUUGUGUUUAUAAAAGUUGGGGUGUGGAAAAACCAAAAUUUUUGGAGGAACGUUUGGAUCUAAUCAUUUUAAGCUAGUUUACUCAUAUCUUUAUAUGAUUUCUUUUACUAAAGGAAUAAAUUUUAACAAUAUCUUCUAGUAAAUGACCUUUAGACUUGGAAUUAGUGUCUAGUCUUCAUGUAUGAGAGGAGUGAGACUAUUCCUUAGUAAUGGAGAGAAAAGUGAUAUGAAAAAGUAAAGGAAAAACAAUACAUUGAUAUUUAUAUCAUUUUUAUUUAAAAUAAGAUUACACUUUUAUCCUUAGAAUAUAAAGGAAAAAAUCACUUCAAUUCCCUCUUCAUUACUUGAGAGGAGACUUACUCGUAUGAGUGGAGCCCUUUUUUCAUAGCUUCAAGAUCUUUUGCUCGAUGAUCAUGUUGAAUGUACAAUAUGUCUUUGAAAUAUGAUAUUGUACUUUGGACAUUGGUUGGAAGUUGA
This is a non-coding RNA of Lupinus albus (white lupine), 644 nucleotides long. Lineage: Eukaryota; Viridiplantae; Streptophyta; Magnoliopsida; Fabales; Fabaceae. The record is from the annotation of a GenBank genome assembly.